GUUGCAAAAAAUGGAAAACAUUAUUUGGAGAUACUAUAGCUCGAUUUUUUCUCUCCUCGUUACUUAUAAAGAAAAAUAAAAAAGUCAGAAAAAAAAAUAACAUAUAUUAUAUUAUGGUUUUUUAACGUGAAAUUCAAUGUUUUUAUAAAAAAACAUUAAAACACGUGAAAUUCAAUGUUUUUAUAAAGAAGUUUAGGAGAGAUAGUUAAACCGCGUACGUACUCGCUGUCGUUAACACCCUCCCCCCCCCCCUUUACGCAUUCGUACGUUUCAGGAUAACCCCCCUCCCCCCAUACAUGCGUACGUACUUUAUGGAUGGCCCCUUAAAGCAGAGCGUGUUGAUUUAUCUGCUUUUAGUUUCCGAGAGUUCAAGAUAUCAAAUAAAAUAUCCAUAUUUUUAAUAAAAAAGGCUGUUGCAGAAGCGUAUUCAGUCAAAGCAGUAGCAACUUGACUACUAAAAACUUGUGUUGCCAAUUUUACUCACAUAGCUAAUAGUGAUCCUGGAUCUAAAUGACGAUCUGUCAACUUUGGCACAAGUCGCACAGCAUUAACUUUGUCUAAAUUAUAAAAUUCUUCCAGAUGCUUCCACGAUAUUAUUUUACCAUCAGAUAAAAUGUCAUGUUUUAUUAAAUUGUUUCUAGCAUUUUUUAUAAGAUGUGGUGGAUCAAAUAUUAUAUAAACUUUUGCUUGUGUAGUUGGACGUGAAAUUUGUUGAUUUAAUAAUAAAAAUCCUAAAAAUUUGAGAGCUCUUAUAUUACUCGAGCUUUGAUCACAAACAAGACAUCUUACAGCUAAACCUAUUUUAUGUAGAUGAAUCAUGGCAUUAUUUAUUAUCUUAGCUAAAUUGGUUGAACACAUAGUAGUAUUACUGUAAAAAUAUGCAAUUGGUUGUUUCCAUUUUGUUGAUAAUCCACGGACCAUCAAUACAAGUACUUGGUUUACUGGUUUGCCAUAAGAUUAAAUCAAUGAUCUUAUCAUUGUUUUUGUCAUAAUCAAGAUGUUGCUUUAAAGACAUUUCAUCAAAAACAAGACUACAGUUUCGUUCCAAUUUUUUCAUGGUAUUUACUCGCAUUUUUAGUAAAGCAAUAACCUUAUUGGAAAAACCAGAUUCAAGGGUCCCAAAAGAUUUUUCAAGAAACAUUAAAAUAGUGCUUCUAGAAGUCCAACGUUUUCCCUGUUUGAUAUGAUUAUUCAUACGUAAUUGACUUUCAAAAAAUUGAAGUUGAGUAUUUGUUAAAUAUUUUUUAGACAAAUUAAUAAUAUGUUCUAUUGAACCAUCGCAUUUUUUUAACAUAUCAUGCUUUAUCUUCAGGUUUUUAAGUUUUUUUUUAAGUCAAAAAAUCUUAACUUGAGAUGAUAAAUAUUUAUUUUUAAAAGUAGUUUUGACUGUUACAUUAUUUGUACUGCUAUUCUCAACACUAUUUAUUUUAUUUAAUUUGACUUUAUCGUUGAUUUCUUUUUUUUUGUAUUUUAUCUUGUAAAUGAAGUCUGUUUGUAGGCUGUUUUCUCUUUAAAUUUAAGGUAGAAGGUUGGUUUGGAAAGUUAAAAAUUGUUGGUACAGCAGUUACAAGUGCUCUUUUACUACCAUUAUUGGCAAGAUAGUAUUGUGAAGAAUCAAAAUGUUCACUACAAAUAGUAUAGUUAAGAUUAAGUUCUUCACAUGAUUUUGUAUCGAGAUCUUGACGACGACAAUUACGCACCCAAAGCUUGCAUCUAAAUAAUAGGUUAAACCUAAUUAAUUUAGUGGAAUUAUUUACAUCAUAUUAUGUAUAAAUAUUUUUUGUUUCAUAAAAUUUAAAGUAAAACAAUGUUUUAAAAGUUUCUUUAAAUUCUUGAUAUACUAGUUAUUUAAUAAACUUGAUUUGACUAAUAAUUACUUACCUAUUUUUAUCUUUUGGAAAUCUAAAAAAAGAUAUAUUAUUUCCAACAUUCUUUCCACGCUUGUUAACACAAUGAUGGCUGAGCAAAAAGCUGGCAUAUUUAAUAUUGUAUUUAUAGAAAAAGCAACUUAAUUUUUGAAAAGCAAAAUCUAAUAAUAUUAUAAUAUAUAAUAUAUAUUUAGCAGACAACAAAGAUGUAUAGUAAAUUUAUGUUGUUUAUAAUAUGGUCCCGCAAGACAUCCCAUAAUUCAAUGUACGGGCAAUUACACAUGAAUAUAUGGAUUUUUAGUCGAGUUGGCAGGCUUUGGUCGGAGUCACUAAACAAAAUCGCGACUCCGACCUCAAUAGUAAAACUUCUCCGUAUUGUACGUGCAUGUACAAAACAUUCAAUUAACCUUAUGUUCAUACUAAACCUCAAAGAAUGUUUCAUAAAUUUGUCAAAAAAGAAAUUUUUAACUUAUACCUUAAUAUCUUUUAAAGAAUUUCAAGAAUUUUUCAAAAAUAUUGCUUUGGAGUUGUAAUCGAAGUUGGAGUUGGAAUCGGAGUCGGAGUUGUGCUCAAAAAGUUUCAACAACUGGAGUCGGAGUCAUUACUUUUUUUUUACAACUCCACACCCGGGGUUAUCAGUAACGGUUUGAAUAUUAUUUGUUGUUGUUUAUUUGUCAAAAUUAAAUAAGAAUUUCUGUAAAACUUGAAUGUUUAAUUUAUUUUUAGUGGGUUUACCAAUAACUUGAGUGGAUUAUUUUUUUUAUUAGAUUAAUUUUUAUUAGGUUAAUUUAGUCAAAUUUAUUUUUUAUUAGGUUUCCAAUCUGACUCUUUUGCCUUUGUCUGAUUCUACAGAUAAAGUUUUAGCUUUUUAAAAAAGAUGCAAAAUGUUAUUCUCAAUGAGCUUGCAGAAAUAUAAGUUCUUUUAAAAGAAGUUAUAGAAAUUAAGUUUCAGGCUACUGGGUUGAAGUUGCUAGAAUAAGUGGACGAAGUGGUUACACUGGAUAAUAAACUAAAAGAUAAAACAGAGUAUACUAAUUUGCUUGAUGGUUUGAAAAAGAUUGGUGGCGGAAAGCCAAGAGAACAUGUUUUUUUGAUCAUGAAAAGGUUAUUUUCGAAUCAGUUACAGUCCAAAUUAAAUCGAAAAGGAAAUGGGGAAAAGAUAAACUUAGAAAAUCUAGUAAAUAUACGAAGUGUUUUACGAGAUAUCGGCGACAUGGAAGAAGAUGUUAACGGCAAUGCCGAAAUAUAGUUUCUUAUGUAUAUUUUUGUGACAUAAAAAUAAGUAAUUUUAGUUAAAA
Molecule: long non-coding RNA, 3166 nt
Organism: Hydra vulgaris (swiftwater hydra)
Lineage: Eukaryota; Metazoa; Cnidaria; Hydrozoa; Anthoathecata; Hydridae
Source: RefSeq, a predicted model, not a curated record